RNAcentral lists this ribosomal RNA (253 nucleotides) under uncultured bacterium. RNAcentral's name for it is "partial 16S ribosomal RNA". It matches the Rfam family "Bacterial small subunit ribosomal RNA", at positions 524 to 776 of the family's 1533-position model. The record is from RNAcentral.
UACGGGGGGAGCAAGCGUUGUUCGGAUUUACUGGGCGUAAAGGGCUCGUAGGCGGCCAACUAAGUCAGACGUGAAAUCCCUCGGCUUAACCGGGGAACUGCGUCUGAUACUGGAUGGCUAGAGUUUGGGAGAGGGAUGCGGAAUUCCAGGUGUAGCGGUGAAAUGCGUAGAUAUCUGGAGGAACACCGGUGGCGAAGGCGGCAUCCUGGACCAACACUGACGCUGAGGAGCGAAAGCGUGGGGAGCGAACAGG